CCGCGGUAAUACGGGGGGCGCAAGCGUUGCUCGGAAUCACUGGGCGUAAAGCGUACGCAGGCGGCACGUUAAGUCGGGUGUGACAGCCCGGGGCUCAACCCCGGAAUUGCAUUCGAUACUGGCGCGCUUGAGUACGGGAGAGGGAAGCGGAAUUCCUGGUGUAGAGGUGAAAUUCGUAGAUAUCAGGAGGAACAUCAGUGGCGAAAGCGGCUUCCUGGCCCGAUACUGACGCUCAUGUACGAAAGCGUGGGGAGCAAACAGG
This 262-nucleotide ribosomal RNA is filed under the name uncultured bacterium. RNAcentral's name for it is "partial 16S ribosomal RNA". It matches the Rfam family "Bacterial small subunit ribosomal RNA", at positions 515 to 776 of the family's 1533-position model. The record is from RNAcentral.